AUGCAGGUGUAAGUACGAGUUGACGUAAAGCGAAACUGCGAAUGGCUCAUUAAAUCAGUCUUGGUUUAUUUGGUCUCGAGAGCGAAAGUGGAUAACUGUGGCAAUUCCAGAGCUAAUACAUGCAAUUAGCGCCGACUUCGGAAGGCGUGCUUUUAUUGGAUCAAAACCGACCGGGUUCGCCCGUCUCUUUUGAUGACUCUGGAUAACCACGCGGAUCGCGCGGUCUUGUGCCGGCGACAAACCAUUCAAGUGUCUGACCUAUCAACUUUCGAAGGUAAGCUACGGGCUUACCUUUGUGAUAACGGGUGACGGGGAAUCAGGGUUCGAUUCCGGAGAGGGAGCCUGAGAAACGGCUACCACAUCCAAGGAAGGCAGCAGGCGCGCAAAUUACCCAUUCCCGACACGGGGAGGUAGUGACGAAAAAUAACAAUACAGGACUCUAACGAGGCCCUGUAAUUGGAAUGAGUACAUUCUAAAACUCUUAACGAGUAUCCAUUGGAGGGCAAGUCUGGU
Molecule: ribosomal RNA, 513 nt
Filed under: Botrylloides leachii
Lineage: Eukaryota; Metazoa; Chordata; Ascidiacea; Stolidobranchia; Styelidae
Also listed under: 1 other name
Description: SSU rRNA
Rfam family: Eukaryotic small subunit ribosomal RNA
Source: RNAcentral